RNAcentral lists this ribosomal RNA (391 nucleotides) under Pycnococcus provasolii. RNAcentral describes it as "partial Bacterial large subunit ribosomal RNA". It matches the Rfam family "Bacterial large subunit ribosomal RNA", at positions 2083 to 2473 of the family's 2925-position model. Lineage: Eukaryota; Viridiplantae; Chlorophyta; Pseudoscourfieldiophyceae; Pseudoscourfieldiales; Pycnococcaceae. The record is from RNAcentral.
GAAAGACCCCGUGCACCUUUACUGUAGCUUUGCGCUGGCAUUCGUGUCGGCAUGUGUAGGAUAGGUGGUAGGCUUUGAAGCCAGGGCGCCAGCUCUGGUGGAGCCAUCCUUGAAAUACCACCCUUAUAGAUAUGGAUGUCUAACCGCGACCCGUUAUCCGGGUCCGGGACAUUGCAUGGUGGGCAGUUUGACUGGGGCGGUCGCCUCCUAAAGAGUAACGGAGGCUUGCAAAGGUACCCUCAGUACGGUUGGUAAUCGUACGUAGAGCGCAUUAGUAUAAGGGUGCUUGACUGUGAGGCACACAAGCCGAGCAGGGACGAAAGUCGGCUAAAGUGAUCCGGCGGUUCUGUAUGGAAGGGCCGUCGCUCAAAGGAUAAAAGGUACUCCGGGG